Molecule: ribosomal RNA, 451 nt
Filed under: uncultured bacterium
Lineage: Bacteria
Description: partial 16S ribosomal RNA
Rfam family: Bacterial small subunit ribosomal RNA
Source: RNAcentral
GUCCAGACUCCUACGGGAGGCAGCAGUGGGGAAUAUUGGGCAAUGGAGGAAACUCUUACCCAGCAAUGCCGCGUGAAUGAAGAAGGUCUUCGGAUUGUAAAGUUCUUUAAUUGGGGACGAAAAAAAUGACGGUACCCAAGGAAUAAGCCCCGGCUAACUACGUGCCAGCAGCCGCGGUAAUACGUAGGGGGCAAGCGUUGUUCGGAAUGACUGGGCGUAAAGGGUGCGUAGGCGGUGUAGCAAGUUAGAAGUGAAAUACCUAGGGCUUAACUCAGGUGCUGCUUCUAAAACUGCUAUACUUGAGUGCAGUAGAGGAAAGUGGAAUUCCUAGUGUAGCGGUGAAAUGCGUAGAUAUCAGGAGGAACACCGGUGGCGAAGGCGGCCUGCUGGACUGCGACUGACGUUGAGGCCCGAAAGCGUGGGGAGCAAACAGGAUUAGAUACCCCCGUAG